UACGUAGGGUGCGAGCGUUGUCCGGAAUUAUUGGGCGUAAAGAGCUCGUAGGCGGUUUGUCGCGUCUGCUGUGAAAACCCGAGGCUCAACCUCGGGCCUGCAGUGGGUACGGGCAGACUAGAGUGCGGUAGGGGAGAUUGGAAUUCCUGGUGUAGCGGUGGAAUGCGCAGAUAUCAGGAAGAACACCGGUGGCGAAGGCGGCUCUCUGGGCCUUACCUGACGCUGAGGAGCGAAAGCGUGGGUAGCGAACAGG
RNAcentral lists this ribosomal RNA (253 nucleotides) under uncultured bacterium. RNAcentral describes it as "partial 16S ribosomal RNA". It matches the Rfam family "Bacterial small subunit ribosomal RNA", at positions 524 to 776 of the family's 1533-position model. The record is from RNAcentral.